This 549-nucleotide ribosomal RNA is filed under the name uncultured bacterium. RNAcentral describes it as "bacterial SSU rRNA". It matches the Rfam family "Bacterial small subunit ribosomal RNA", at positions 355 to 896 of the family's 1533-position model. The record is from RNAcentral.
UGGGGAAUUUUGGACAAUGGGCGCAAGCCUGAUCCAGCCAUGCCGCGUGUCUGAAGAAGGCCUUCGGGUUGUAAAGGACUUUUGUCAGGGAAGAAAAGGCUGUUGCUAAUAUCAGCGGCUGAUGACGGUACCUGAAGAAUAAGCACCGGCUAACUACGUGCCAGCAGCCGCGGUAAUACGUAGGGUGCAAGCGUUAAUCGGAAUUACUGGGCGUAAAGCGAGCGCAGACGGUUACUUAAGCAGGAUGUGAAAUCCCCGGGCUCAACCUGGGAACUGCGUUCUGAACUGGGUGACUAGAGUGUGUCAGAGGGAGGUAGAAUUCCACGUGUAGCAGUGAAAUGCGUAGAGAUGUGGAGGAAUACCGAUGGCGAAGGCAGCCUCCUGGGAUAACACUGACGUUCAUGCUCGAAAGCGUGGGUAGCAAACAGGAUUAGAUACCCUGGUAGUCCACGCCCUAAACGAUGUCAAUUAGCUGUUGGGCAACUUGAUUGNUCAGUAGCGUAGCUAACGCGUGAAAUUGACCGCCUGGGGAGUACGGNCGCAAGAUUA